ACGGGUGAGUAACGCGUGGGUAACCUGCCUCAUACAGGGGGAUAACAGUUAGAAAUGACUGCUAAUACCGCAUAAGCGCACAGGGCUGCAUGGCCCGGUGUGAAAAACUCCGGUGGUAUGGGAUGGACCCGCGUCUGAUUAGCUGGUUGGAGGGGUAAUGGCCCACCAAGGCGACGAUCAGUAGCCGGCCUGAGAGGGUGAACGGCCACAUUGGGACUGAGACACGGCCCAGACUCUUACGGGAGGCAGCAGUGGGGAAUAUUGCACAAUGGGGGAAACCCUGAUGCAGCGACGCCGCGUGAAGGAAGAAGUAUCUCGGUAUGUAAACUUCUACCAGCAGGGAAGAAAAUGACGGUACCUGACUAAGAAGCCCCGGCUAACUACGUGCCAGCAGCCGCGGUAAUACGUAGGGGGCAAGCGUUAUCCGGAUUUACUGGGUGUAAAGGGAGCGUAGACGGAAGAGCAAGUCUGAUGUGAAAGGCUGGGGCUUAACCCCAGGACUGCAUUGGAAACUGUUUUUCUAGAGUGCCGGAGAGGUAAGCGGAAUUCCUAGUGUAGCGGUGAAAUGCGUAGAUAUUAGGAGGAACACCAGUGGCGAAGGCGGCUUACUGGACGGUAACUGACGUUGAGGCUCGAAAGCGUGGGGAGCAAACAGGAUUAGAUACCCUGGUAGUCCACGCCGUAAA
RNAcentral lists this ribosomal RNA (686 nucleotides) under uncultured bacterium. Its description in RNAcentral is "bacterial SSU rRNA". It matches the Rfam family "Bacterial small subunit ribosomal RNA", at positions 102 to 806 of the family's 1533-position model. The record is from RNAcentral.